Long non-coding RNA from Zophobas morio, 370 nucleotides. RefSeq lists it as uncharacterized. Lineage: Eukaryota; Metazoa; Arthropoda; Insecta; Coleoptera; Tenebrionidae. The record is from RefSeq and is a predicted model, not a curated record. The transcript has 4 exons.
GAGCCUGAUGCUGUGUCCAUAUUGGCGGAUGUGGAUGAAACUUCAGAGACUUUUGCUAUAUUAAAUAUUAUUAUUGGCUUUGUACUCGAGUACAUUUCUCUUCAGCAAUCUUCUACGGUCAGCACGAGUCCUCCUCGCUUACUACAGAAAUCUUUGUCGCUUCUCCAUGUGCUCUGCUCGAACGAUUCGACGGCGCCCGUUACUUUUUCUUACCUGGAACAAAAAAAUUUCCAAACCAUUUUUAGUAAAUAUAAAUAUGAAAGCUUGCAAGAGAACUUUGACUAUUCUAUUCAGUUCCUUCUACUUCGGAUAUUAACGAGUUGGCUUUUCUUUGGAGGAAUCGAGUCGGAAAAAAGUGUUAAUUAUGCUC